AACCCAGACUCCUACGGGAGGCAGCAGUGGGGAAUCUUCCGCAAUGGGCGAAAGCCUGACGGAGCAACGCCGCGUGAUCGAAUGAAGGCCUUCGGGUUGUAAAGAUCUGUUGACAGGGACGAAUAAGCAAUGCGAAUAGUUUUGUGUAUGACGGUACCUGUUUAGAAAGCUCCGGCUAACUACGUGCCAGCAGCCGCGGUAAUACGUAGGGGGCAAGCGUUAUCCGGAUUUACUGGGUGUAAAGGGAGCGUAGGUGGCAUGGUAAGCCAGAAGUGAAAACCCGGGGCUCAACCCCGCGGAUUGCUUUUGGAACUAUCAGGCUGGAGUGCUGGAGGGGUAAGCGGAAUUCCUAGUGUAGCGGUGAAAUGCGUAGAUAUUAGGAGGAACACCGGUGGCGAAGGCGGCUUACUGGACAGAAACUGACACUGAGGCUCGAAAGCGUGGGGAGCAAACAGGAUUAGAUACCCGCGUAUG
This 474-nucleotide ribosomal RNA is filed under the name uncultured bacterium. Its description in RNAcentral is "bacterial SSU rRNA". It matches the Rfam family "Bacterial small subunit ribosomal RNA", at positions 328 to 793 of the family's 1533-position model. The record is from RNAcentral.